GAUGAACGCUGGCGGCGUGCCUAAUACAUGCAAGUCGAGCGAACAGACGAGGAGCUUGCUCCUCUGACGUUAGCGGCGGACGGGUGAGUAACACGUGGAUAACCUACCUAUAAGACUGGGAUAACUUCGGGAAACCGGAGCUAAUACCGGAUAAUACAUUGAACCGCAUGGUUGAAUAGUGAAAGACGGUGUUGCUGUCACUUAUAGAUGGAUCCGCGCCGCAUUAGCUAGUUGGUAAGGUAAAGGCUUACCAAGGGAACGAUGCGUAGCCGACCUGAGAGGGUGAUCGGCCACACUGGAACUGAGACAGCGUCCAGACUCCUACGAGAGGCAGCAGUAGGGAAUCUUCCGCAAUGGGCGAAAGCCUGACGGAGCAACGCCGCGUGAGUGAUGAAGGUCUUCGGAUCGUAAAACUCUGUUAUUAGGGAAGAACAAAUGUGUAAGUAACUAUGCACGUCUUGACGGUACCUAAUCAGAAAGCCACGGCUAACUACGUG
Molecule: ribosomal RNA, 497 nt
Filed under: uncultured bacterium
Lineage: Bacteria
Description: partial 16S ribosomal RNA
Rfam family: Bacterial small subunit ribosomal RNA
Source: RNAcentral